UACAGAGGUCCCAAGCGUUGUUCGGAUUUACUGGGCGUAAAGGGCGCGUAGGCGGCGCAACAAGUCAGUUGUGAAAUCUCCGGGCUUAACCCGGAGCGGCCAAGUGAUACUGUCGUGCUAGAGUGCGGAAGGGGCUACUGGAAUUCUCGGUGUAGCGGUGAAAUGCGUAGAUAUCGAGAGGAACACCGGCGGCGAAGGCGGGUAGCUGGGCCGACACUGACGCUGAUGCGCGAAAGCCAGGUGAGCGAACGGG
This 253-nucleotide ribosomal RNA is filed under the name uncultured bacterium. RNAcentral's name for it is "partial 16S ribosomal RNA". It matches the Rfam family "Bacterial small subunit ribosomal RNA", at positions 524 to 776 of the family's 1533-position model. The record is from RNAcentral.